CAGCAGCCGCGGGAAUACGUAGGGUGCGAGCGUUAAUCGGAAUUACUGGGCGUAAAGCGUGCGCAGGCGGUUUUGUAAGACAGGCGUGAAAUCCCCGGGCUCAACCUGGGAAUGGCGCUUGUGACUGCAAAGCUAGAGUGCGGCAGAGGGGGAUGGAAUUCCGCGUGUAGCAGUGAAAUGCGUAGAUAUGCGGAGGAACACCGAUGGCGAAGGCAAUCCCCUGGGCCUGCACUGACGCUCAUGCACGUAAGCGUGGGGAGCGAACAGGAUUAGAUACCCCUGUAGUCCCUGUCUCUUAUAC
Molecule: ribosomal RNA, 301 nt
Filed under: uncultured bacterium
Lineage: Bacteria
Description: partial 16S ribosomal RNA
Rfam family: Bacterial small subunit ribosomal RNA
Source: RNAcentral